UACGGGGGGGGCAAGCGUUGUUCGGAAUUACUGGGCGUAAAGGGCUCGUAGGUGGCCAACUAAGUCAGACGUGAAAUCCCUCGGCUUAACCGGGGAUCGGCGUCUGAUACUGGAUGGCUUGAGUUUGGGAGAGGGAUGCGGAAUUCCAGGUGUAGCGGUGAAAUGCGUAGAUAUCUGGAGGAACACCGGUGGCGAAGGCGGCGUCCUGGACCAACACUGACACUGAGGAGCGAAAGCUAGGGGAGCAAACGGG
This 253-nucleotide ribosomal RNA is filed under the name uncultured bacterium. Its description in RNAcentral is "partial 16S ribosomal RNA". It matches the Rfam family "Bacterial small subunit ribosomal RNA", at positions 524 to 776 of the family's 1533-position model. The record is from RNAcentral.